CUACGGGAGGCAGCAGUGAGGAAUAUUGCACAAUGGGGGGAACCCUGAUGCAGCAACGCCGCGUGGAGGAUGACGCAUUUCGGUGUGUAAACUCCUUUUAUAUGUCAAGAAAAUGACGGUAGCAUAUGAAUAAGCACCGGCUAACUCCGUGCCAGCAGCCGCGGUAAUACGGAGGGUGCAAGCGUUACUCGGAAUCACUGGGCGUAAAGGACGCGUAGGCGGGUUGGAAAGUCAGGUGUGAAAUCCUACAGCUUAACUGUAGAACUGCACUUGAAACUUCUAAUCUAGAGUAUGGGAGGGGGAGAUGGAAUUAGUGGUGUAGGGGUAAAAUCCGUAGAUAUCACUAGGAAUACCUAAAGCGAAGGCGAUCUCCUGGAACAUUACUGACGCUAAGGCGUGAAAGCGUGGGGAGCAAACAGGAUUAGAUACCCGCGAGUC
Molecule: ribosomal RNA, 438 nt
Filed under: uncultured bacterium
Lineage: Bacteria
Description: partial 16S ribosomal RNA
Rfam family: Bacterial small subunit ribosomal RNA
Source: RNAcentral